Molecule: ribosomal RNA, 253 nt
Filed under: uncultured bacterium
Lineage: Bacteria
Description: partial 16S ribosomal RNA
Rfam family: Bacterial small subunit ribosomal RNA
Source: RNAcentral
UACAGAGGUCUCAAGCGUUGUUCGGAUUCAUUGGGCGUAAAGGGUGCGUAGGCGGCGCGGUAAGUCGGGUGUGAAAUCUCGGAGCUUAACUCCGAAACUGCAUUCGAUACUGCGGUGCUUGAGGACUGGAGAGGAGACUGGAAUUUACGGUGUAGCAGUGAAAUGCGUAGAGAUCGUAAGGAAGACCAGUGGCGAAGGCAAUCCCCUGGGCCUGCACUGACGCUCAUGCACGAAAGCGUGGGGAGCAAACAGG